Molecule: long non-coding RNA, 282 nt
Filed under: Elaeis guineensis (African oil palm)
Lineage: Eukaryota; Viridiplantae; Streptophyta; Magnoliopsida; Arecales; Arecaceae
Description: long non-coding RNA (EGUI_LNC040142)
Source: RNAcentral
GCAUAUACAUAAAUCAUGCAUUUUAUAUAAACAUAAUUUUCAACGUAUAGCAUAAAUAAAUUCAUAAAUUAUAUCAACUUCAUAUAUAAAGUUAUAAAUUAUUUAUUAUUUUUUUCAUAUCAUGAUUCUUAAUAAUUCUCUCAGACUAAAUGCUAAGGUCGCUAUUAUACCCAUGAUAGGGCCAUAAUCAUAUACCAACUACUAUUACCCAUUGGUAGGAUUAUAUACCAACUACUAUUAUCUGUUGACAGGAUCAUUUGCUAAUUACUAUUAUCUACGGAC